Molecule: ribosomal RNA, 407 nt
Filed under: uncultured Corynebacterium sp.
Lineage: Bacteria; Bacillati; Actinomycetota; Actinomycetes; Mycobacteriales; Corynebacteriaceae
Description: bacterial SSU rRNA
Rfam family: Bacterial small subunit ribosomal RNA
Source: RNAcentral
GUGGGGAAUAUUGCACAAUGGGCGCAAGCCUGAUGCAGCGACGCCGCGUGGGGGAUGACGGCCUUCGGGUUGUAAACUCCUUUCGCUAGGGACGAAGCUUUUUGUGACGGUACCUAGAUAAGAAGCACCGGCUAACUACGUGCCAGCAGCCGCGGUAAUACGUAGGGUGCGAGCGUUGUCCGGAAUUACUGGGCGUAAAGGGCUCGUAGGUGGUUUGUCGCGUCGUCUGUGAAAUUCCGGGGCUUAACUCCGGGCGUGCAGGCGAUACGGGCAUAACUUGAGUACUGUAGGGGUAACUGGAAUUCCUGGUGUAGCGGUGAAAUGCGCAGAUAUCAGGAGGAACACCGAUGGCGAAGGCAGGUUACUGGGCAGUUACUGACGCUGAGGAGCGAAAGCAUGGGUAGCGA